RNAcentral lists this ribosomal RNA (1238 nucleotides) under metagenome. RNAcentral's name for it is "bacterial SSU rRNA". It matches the Rfam family "Bacterial small subunit ribosomal RNA", at positions 75 to 1308 of the family's 1533-position model. The record is from RNAcentral.
GGAGCUUGCUCCGCUGACGAGUGGCGAACGGGUGAGUAAUGUAUCGGAACGUACCAUUCAGUGGGGGAUAACGUAGCGAAAGUUACGCUAAUACCGCAUAUUCUGUGCGCAGGAAAGCAGGGGAUCGCAAGACCUUGCGCUGAUUGAGCGGCCGAUAUCAGAUUAGCUAGUUGGUGAGGUAAAAGCUCACCAAGGCGACGAUCUGUAGCGGGUCUGAGAGGAUGAUCCGCCACACUGGAACUGAGACACGGUCCAGACUCCUACGGGAGGCAGCAGUGGGGAAUUUUGAACAAUGGGGGCAACCCUGAUCCAGCCAUGCCGCGUGAGUGAAGAAGGCCUUCGGGUUGUAAAGCUCUUUCAGCCGGGAAGAAAAUGCAUGGGUUAAUACCCUGUGCAGAUGACGGUACCGGAAUAAGAAGCACCGGCUAACUACGUGUCAGCAGCCGCGGUAAUACGUAGGGUGCGAGCGUUAAUCGGAAUUACUGGGCGUAAAGCGUGCGCAGGCGGUUUUGUAAGACAGGCGUGAAAUCCCCGGGCUUAACCUGGGAACUGCGUUUGUGACUGCAAGGCUAGAGUACGGCAGAGGGGGGUGGAAUUCCACGUGUAGCAGUGAAAUGCGUAGAGAUGUGGAGGAACACCAAUGGCGAAGGCAGCCCCCUGGGUCGAUACUGACGCUCAUGCACGAAAGCGUGGGUAGCAAACAGGAUUAGAUACCCUGGUAGUCCACGCCCUAAACGAUGUCAACUAGGUGUUGGGAGGGUAAAACCUUUUAGUACCGUAGCUAACGCGAGAAGUUGACCGCCUGGGGAGUACGGCCGCAAGGUUAAAACUCAAAGGAAUUGACGGGGACCCGCACAAGCGGUGGAUGAUGUGGAUUAAUUCGAUGCAACGCGAAAAACCUUACCUACCCUUGACAUGUCAGGAACUUUCCAGAGAUGGAUUGGUGCCCGAAAGGGAACCUGAACACAGGUGCUGCAUGGCUGUCGUCAGCUCGUGUCGUGAGAUGUUGGGUUAAGUCCCGCAACGAGCGCAACCCUUGUCGUUAAUUGCCAUCAUUCAGUUGGGCACUUUAACGAGACUGCCGGUGACAAACCGGAGGAAGGUGGGGAUGACGUCAAGUCCUUAUGGUCCUUAUGGGUAGGGCUUCACACGUCAUACAGUGGUCGGUACAAAGGGUCGCCAACCCGCGAGGGGGAGCCAAUCCCAUAAAGCCGAUCGUAGUCCGGAUUGUAGGCUGC